This 427-nucleotide ribosomal RNA is filed under the name uncultured bacterium. RNAcentral describes it as "partial 16S ribosomal RNA". It matches the Rfam family "Bacterial small subunit ribosomal RNA", at positions 355 to 774 of the family's 1533-position model. The record is from RNAcentral.
UGGGGAAUAUUGGACAAUGGGCGAAAGCCUGAUCCAGCCAUGCCGCGUGUGUGAAGAAGGUAUUCGGAUUGUAAAGCACUUUAAGUUGGGAGGAAGGGCAUUAACCUAAUACGUUAGUGUUUUGACGUUACCGACAGAAUAAGCACCGGCUAACUCUGUGCCAGCAGCCGCGGUAAUACAGAGGGUGCAAGCGUUAAUCGGAAUUACUGGGCGUAAAGCGCGCGUAGGUGGUUUGUUAAGUUGGAUGUUAAAUCCCCGGGCUCAACCUGGUAACUGCAUUCAAAACUGACUGACUAGAGUAUGGUAGAUGGUGGUGGAAUUUCCUGUGUAGCGGUGAAAUGCGUAGAUAUAGGAAGGAACACCAGUGGCGAAGGCGACCACCUGGACUAAUACUGACACCGAGGUGCGAAAGCGUGGGGAGCAAACA